Molecule: ribosomal RNA, 2773 nt
Filed under: Escherichia coli
Lineage: Bacteria; Pseudomonadati; Pseudomonadota; Gammaproteobacteria; Enterobacterales; Enterobacteriaceae
Description: bacterial LSU rRNA
Rfam family: Bacterial large subunit ribosomal RNA
Source: RNAcentral
AGCGUACACGGUGGAUGCCCUGGCAGUCAGAGGCGAUGAAGGACGUGCUAAUCUGCGAUAAGCGUCGGUAAGGUGAUAUGAACCGUUAUAACCGGCGAUUUCCGAAUGGGGAAACCCAGUGUGUUUCGACACACUAUCAUUAACUGAAUCCAUAGGUUAAUGAGGCGAACCGGGGGAACUGAAACAUCUAAGUACCCCGAGGAAAAGAAAUCAACCGAGAUUCCCCCAGUAGCGGCGAGCGAACGGGGAGGAGCCCAGAGCCUGAAUCAGUGUGUGUGUUAGUGGAAGCGUCUGGAAAGGCGCGCGAUACAGGGUGACAGCCCCGUACACAAAAAUGCACAUGCUGUGAGCUCGAUGAGUAGGGCGGGACACGUGGUAUCCUGUCUGAAUAUGGGGGGACCAUCCUCCAAGGCUAAAUACUCCUGACUGACCGAUAGUGAACCAGUACCGUGAGGGAAAGGCGAAAAGAACCCCGGCGAGGGGAGUGAAAAAGAACCUGAAACCGUGUACGUACAAGCAGUGGGAGCCUCUUUAUGGGGUGACUGCGUACCUUUUGUAUAAUGGGUCAGCGACUUAUAUUCUGUAGCAAGGUUAACCGAAUAGGGGAGCCGAAGGGAAACCGAGUCUUAACUGGGCGUUAAGUUGCAGGGUAUAGACCCGAAACCCGGUGAUCUAGCCAUGGGCAGGUUGAAGGUUGGGUAACACUAACUGGAGGACCGAACCGACUAAUGUUGAAAAAUUAGCGGAUGACUUGUGGCUGGGGGUGAAAGGCCAAUCAAACCGGGAGAUAGCUGGUUCUCCCCGAAAGCUAUUUAGGUAGCGCCUCGUGAAUUCAUCUCCGGGGGUAGAGCACUGUUUCGGCAAGGGGGUCAUCCCGACUUACCAACCCGAUGCAAACUGCGAAUACCGGAGAAUGUUAUCACGGGAGACACACGGCGGGUGCUAACGUCCGUCGUGAAGAGGGAAACAACCCAGACCGCCAGCUAAGGUCCCAAAGUCAUGGUUAAGUGGGAAACGAUGUGGGAAGGCCCAGACAGCCAGGAUGUUGGCUUAGAAGCAGCCAUCAUUUAAAGAAAGCGUAAUAGCUCACUGGUCGAGUCGGCCUGCGCGGAAGAUGUAACGGGGCUAAACCAUGCACCGAAGCUGCGGCAGCGACACUAUGUGUUGUUGGGUAGGGGAGCGUUCUGUAAGCCUGCGAAGGUGUACUGUGAGGUAUGCUGGAGGUAUCAGAAGUGCGAAUGCUGACAUAAGUAACGAUAAAGCGGGUGAAAAGCCCGCUCGCCGGAAGACCAAGGGUUCCUGUCCAACGUUAAUCGGGGCAGGGUGAGUCGACCCCUAAGGCGAGGCCGAAAGGCGUAGUCGAUGGGAAACAGGUUAAUAUUCCUGUACUUGGUGUUACUGCGAAGGGGGGACGGAGAAGGCUAUGUUGGCCGGGCGACGGUUGUCCCGGUUUAAGCGUGUAGGCUGGUUUUCCAGGCAAAUCCGGAAAAUCAAGGCUGAGGCGUGAUGACGAGGCACUACGGUGCUGAAGCAACAAAUGCCCUGCUUCCAGGAAAAGCCUCUAAGCAUCAGGUAACAUCAAAUCGUACCCCAAACCGACACAGGUGGUCAGGUAGAGAAUACCAAGGCGCUUGAGAGAACUCGGGUGAAGGAACUAGGCAAAAUGGUGCCGUAACUUCGGGAGAAGGCACGCUGAUAUGUAGGUGAAGUCCCUCGCGGAUGGAGCUGAAAUCAGUCGAAGAUACCAGCUGGCUGCAACUGUUUAUUAAAAACACAGCACUGUGCAAACACGAAAGUGGACGUAUACGGUGUGACGCCUGCCCGGUGCCGGAAGGUUAAUUGAUGGGGUUAGCGGUAACGCGAAGCUCUUGAUCGAAGCCCCGGUAAACGGCGGCCGUAACUAUAACGGUCCUAAGGUAGCGAAAUUCCUUGUCGGGUAAGUUCCGACCUGCACGAAUGGCGUAAUGAUGGCCAGGCUGUCUCCACCCGAGACUCAGUGAAAUUGAACUCGCUGUGAAGAUGCAGUGUACCCGCGGCAAGACGGAAAGACCCCGUGAACCUUUACUAUAGCUUGACACUGAACAUUGAGCCUUGAUGUGUAGGAUAGGUGGGAGGCUUUGAAGUGUGGACGCCAGUCUGCAUGGAGCCGACCUUGAAAUACCACCCUUUAAUGUUUGAUGUUCUAACGUUGGCCCCUGAUCGGGGUUGCGGACAGUGUCUGGUGGGUAGUUUGACUGGGGCGGUCUCCUCCUAAAGAGUAACGGAGGAGCACGAAGGUUGGCUAAUCCUGGUCGGACAUCAGGAGGUUAGUGCAAUGGCAUAAGCCAGCUUGACUGCGAGCGUGACGGCGCGAGCAGGUGCGAAAGCAGGUCAUAGUGAUCCGGUGGUUCUGAAUGGAAGGGCCAUCGCUCAACGGAUAAAAGGUACUCCGGGGAUAACAGGCUGAUACCGCCCAAGAGUUCAUAUCGACGGCGGUGUUUGGCACCUCGAUGUCGGCUCAUCACAUCCUGGGGCUGAAGUAGGUCCCAAGGGUAUGGCUGUUCGCCAUUUAAAGUGGUACGCGAGCUGGGUUUAGAACGUCGUGAGACAGUUCGGUCCCUAUCUGCCGUGGGCGCUGGAGAACUGAGGGGGGCUGCUCCUAGUACGAGAGGACCGGAGUGGACGCAUCACUGGUGUUCGGGUUGUCAUGCCAAUGGCACUGCCCGGUAGCUAAAUGCGGAAGAGAUAAGUGCUGAAAGCAUCUAAGCACGAAACUUGCCCCGAGAUGAGUUCU